RNAcentral lists this ribosomal RNA (433 nucleotides) under uncultured bacterium. RNAcentral describes it as "partial 16S ribosomal RNA". It matches the Rfam family "Bacterial small subunit ribosomal RNA", at positions 29 to 507 of the family's 1533-position model. The record is from RNAcentral.
AACGAACGCUGGCGGCAUGCCUAACACAUGCAAGUCGAACGAGACCUUCGGGUCUAGUGGCGCACGGGUGCGUAACGCGUGGGAACCUGCCCUUAGGUUCGGAAUAACUCCGCGAAAUGUGUGCUAAUACCGGAUAAUGUCUUCGGACCAAAGAUUUAUCGCCUUUGGAUGGGCCCGCGUUGGAUUAGCUAGUUGGUAGGGUAAAAGCCUACCAAGGCGACGAUCCAUAGCUGGUCUGAGAGGAUGAUCAGCCACACUGGGACUGAGACACGGCCCAGACUCCUACGGGAGGCAGCAGUGGGGAAUAUUGGACAAUGGGCGAAAGCCUGAUCCAGCAAUGCCGCGUGAGUGAUGAAGGCCUUAGGGUUGUAAAGCUCUUUUACCCGGGAUGAUAAUGACAGUACCGGGAGAAUAAGCUCCGGCUAACUCCGUG